CGCCCCCUUUGUUUCAAGCUGUGCACGCCCACCCGCUGCGUGGGACCUUAAAAACCCCCUGCUCCAGAGCUCGGGGCUCCUGGCUCGGAUCCGUUGCAACGGAGUCCCCUGGGAGCCAAGUUCAAACUUGCAAUAAAUGGCCCUUUUGCUUUUGCAUCAGACUCGGCUCCCUGGUGAUCUUUGUGGGGGAUUUCGAGAUCUGUGCACAACAUUUAGUGCAUUGGCUGGGAAGUCCCUCAAGACACCCUGAGGACCCCGACCCGCAGGGCCGCUACAUGGGGCCACGCGAGAAAAAAAGCCAAGCGAGCGCAUGGGGUGGGUGGCGACGUUGGCCACCCACCCGACCCGUCUUGAAACACAGACCAAGAAGUCUAACACGUGCGUGAGUCAGGGACUCGCAUGAAAGCCACGGCAGGGGAUUGUCCCCCGGCCGGCGACCGGCCACCACCGGGCGCAUUUCCACUGGCUCCAGGACGGCUGAAAAGGCCCAGCGGGGAAGGUAGCUGGGGGCCCCCCUGCCCUUCGUGGGGCGGGCCUGCCUCCCAAGUGUUACAGCCCCCAGACAGCAGCACUGGCGGAAUCCCAAGGGACAUGAUGAUGGCACUGGUUAUUUUACCAAGGCUUUGGCUGGAACAGCAAUUCCAGAGGUGUCCAGACUGCAUUAAAGAAUUCAGGUUGACUUUAUAAGGCCAAUUAAGAAAAGCCCUUUGGAAAACUGGCCAGAUACCCAUCAGUAACAUUUCCUGAUCUGUGGUAAGUAACAAAGGUCCGGAAAUCAAAAUGUGCUUGGGAACCUCAAGAGAAGAGGGAUUUACCCAAUGCAUACAGGUAUCUAACAGCACAGAUGAAACCUGGGCUCUGAAAGGCUUUCAAAAAGUCCAGCCUGAGAUUCCUUAUAAAAGGUUCCAGCAAAGCCAAAUUUAAAAGAAAAAGAGCCUAAAUGGCUAAUAAUUAAUUAUUCUUACUGCACUUUAUGCAAAUAAUCAGACCCUGUAUAUUAAAGGUACAGUUUAUUUUGGCAAAUAAGUUAGUUCUACUAUAAUUUGCCUUUAGUAAAGAGAGAAAUAAGAGAGAGAGAAACAGUUUAAAAGGAGGAAAAAGAGGCCGUGGUCUGGUCCACCUGUAUUUAGAUCCCAGCCUUGUCUGUACUCAUAAAAUGAGACAUAACUGUUUUACUAAGUUGAUCUAUUAAAUGAGACUAAGAGACUGGCCAAAAAGUAUAGAAUUAUAUGUAAUAGUUAUAUUUACUCUGAAACCUUAAGACUCAACAAAGGUCACCUGUUGGCUACACUGGAAAACUUGUGCAGUAUUAAAUGUUAUCUAAAAUUUCCCAGAAAAUAAUGUAACUGUAAACACUGCAUUCUACUCUGCUGAAUCUGUUGCCAGCAGAAGCCAAAUGGCCCACUUGUCUGAACUUAGAAGAGGCCUUUUUCAGUAUAAGGCUGGCUCUGGGAAGCCAGAAGCUGUUUGCAUUCCAGUGAGAGAGACCAGACAUAGAAACAGUACACAUGGACCAGGUUGCCACAGGGGUUCAAAACACCUACAAUUUUUGAAAAAACGCUGGCUCGUGACCUCCAGAAAUUCCUGGCUGAGGAAUCAGAAUGUGUGCUGUUCCAAUAUGUCGAUGACCUCCUUUCAGGACACCCUACCCAGGAAGGCUGCGCCUGAGGCAUGGACUGUCUUUUAUGACAUCUAGAGAUAUGUGGCUAUAAAGUGUCUAAGUGGAAGGCCCAGGUCUGCCAGCAGCAAGUACAUUAUCUAAGAUUUACUAUUCAGCAAGGGGAAAAAAAUCUAGGCAUGGAACGAAGGCAGGUCAUUAAUCGCCUCCCCACCUCCAAGAGCCGAAAGCAGGUUCGGGAAUUCGUAGGCCCAGUCGGCUUCUGUCGUCUUUAGAUCCCCAACUUUGCCGUCUUAGCUAAGCCCUUGUAUGAGGCAACUAAAAGAGAAGAGGGAGAGCCCUUGGAGUGGGAAGGAAAAUAGGAACAUGCCUUCUCCCAGCUAAAGAUGAGGCUGAUGGCUGCACCUGCAUUGGGACUGCCAAACUUGACCAAGCCCUUUACUCUGUAUGUCUCAGAGAGAGAUAAAAUGGCUGUGGGUGUGUUAACCCAGCUGAUUAAGUCCUGGCCAAGGCCUGUAGCCUACCUCUCUAAGCAGUUAGAUAAAGUGGCAAAAGGAUGGCCACCCUGUUUACGGGCUCUAGCUGCUACUGCUCUCCUUGUGCAAGAAAAUAAUAAGCUGACUCUGGGCAGGAUCUCAGAGUGAAAGUACCCCACUCUGUGGUCAAUUUAAUGGACACUAAGGGACAUUUUUGGCUCUCUAAUGCGACACUCUGAACCAAGCCAUGCUCCUUCCAGUCAGUGGAAGAGAGACUGAGCAUAACUGUACAGAAAUUAUGGAUAAUGUAUACUCUAGCAGACCUGACUUGCGUGACCAACCCUGGACAGAUGCAGACUAGAACUUGUAUGUAGAUGGAAGCAGUUACAUGACCGCGCAAGGUGAGCGGUGGGCUGGGUAUGCAGUGGUCACCUUAACAGAGACUGUGGAGGGUAAGCCCCUCCUUCAAGGGACAUUGACUCAGAAGGCUGAGUUAAUUGCCUGAGUUAACUAAAUCAAGGGGAAAAUUUGAAUGCUUUUCUGACUCUUCAAAUACACAGGACAUUGUACAAGGAGAAGGGACUAUUAAAUUCUGAAAGAAAAAAAAAGGACAUUAAAUAUCAGCAGGAGAUAACUUCCGUUGUUAGAGGCAGUAUGGAAACCCCAGAAAGUGGCUGUUAUGCACUGUCAUGGACAUCAAAGAAAUGCUUCCACCAUCGCUAAAGGGAACACCAGAGCCAAUACUGAGGCAAAAAGGGCUGCCUCCCAGCCAUACCAGGUGUCACCAGUGGCUCCCCUCAUCCCUUGGGUCCCAAAGCUCACCCCUAUCUACUCCCGGAAGGAGAAGGAAUGGUUAGCAGCAGAGGGGAACCAGGAAGCAGAGGGAGGAUGAACGAAAAUGCCAGAUGCACGAGUAGCAGUUCCCCAGAUUCUAAGAGCCACCGUAGUGACAGGAGUGUUUGAUGAAGUUGCUGGGCCAGUACUUCUACAUCUCCUACCUGGCAGCCCUGGCCAAAACUGUCAGUCUACAGUGUGUCACCUGCAGGCAGUUCAACGUGUGCCAAGGACCAAUGGUACCACCAGGAAUUCAGUUGUAUGGAGCAACACCCUUCGAAAACUUCCAGAUCAAGGGACCAAAUUUAGGUCUGGAAUCAGAACAUGGUCCCCCUCAAACCAAGGUAAAAAAGACUUUACACCAUCAUCUUGACCACACGCACGGCAGUAAAGAUGAAAAUAAAUCUUCACCUGGAGUCAUCACAGCUAGCUGAAUAAAGCUUCACUGCCCCUUGAGAAGUAAAGGUAACUUUUAAGACAUCCAACAUGCCCUGCUCCAGCCACAUACUGGGAGCUGGUUGGUCAACACACGGCUGAAGCCUGAGGAAACUCCUCGAGGAACUUGCCUUAAUUGAACUUUGGACUUUAAAAAAAAAAAAAAGAGGUUUGUGCGCUGCUCUAAGUGAAAAAUGCUGUUUUUACACUGAUCACUCAGGAAUAAUGAAAGAAUCAAUGGUCCUUGUGCGGGAGAGCUUGCACAAGCGUAAAGUAGAAAGAGGAAAUAAUCAGAGCUGGUCUCUGAUGGCUAACAACUCUGAUAUCAGCCCUGGCUGGUCCCCUAGUGUUAUUACUUCUACUCCUGACUGUGGGCCCUUGCAUUAUCAAUAGGCUCAUCACUUUUGUACAGGACCGUGUAAGAGCCGUACAACUUCUGGUCUUAAAAGGCCAAUAUCGGCCCCUUUCAUACAGAAAGCUAGAGCUGACACACACGGUACCGGACCCAUGAUUGGGUCCUUGAAUUUACAAGUAGAGGGGGGAAUGAAAGAACCAGACCAGCGCCACUUAAAAGUUAAGUUUCGCUCCCCCUGCCAUUUCACUCAGUAAGUUUACUUUCCAGACAAGCCCAGGCAAGCCUAGGCAAUUCCCCGAAAUCAUGAGACAACCGCCCACCAAUCAGGGACCCCCCACCUAACCAAUCCAGAAGCACCCCCUUUGUUUCAAGCUGUGCACACCCACCCGCUGAGCGGGACCAGAAGAACCCCCUGCUCCAGAGCUCAGGGUUCCUGGCUCAGACCCCUUGCAACGGAUUCCCCCGGGAGCCCAAGUUCGAACUUGCUUUUGCAUCGGACUCGGCUCCCUGGUGGUCUUUGUGGGGGAUUUCGAGAUCUGGGCACAACAGGAUACCAUGGAGGGGCGCGGUCUUCCCUGAGGCCCAGGGUAUAACUGCGGGCGGCGGAAGACUUAGGUCGGGAGAAAGAGAAUAUCCUGAGGACCCAGCGGCUCCGGUGGUGGUGGCCUGGCCAGCCUCCUGGGCGCUGAGGUGGCCGGGAAGGAUCAGAGGGAGAGAGGCCUGAAAGGAAGAGUACACCACGUAAUAGGUGGGAGGAGAAUGACAGGGGAUUGGCACAGGUCUCGAAUGUGGGAAAGUCGUGCCCGAGGUCCUGGACAUCAGCGGUCCGCCCCUUAGGCGACAGCUCACCACCCAGUAGGGAAAGAAACUCCCAGAAAGGCAGCGAGAGCAAGAGCGGCACCGACUGCACCUGGCCCGACAGGCAGGCCCGGAACCCGCCAAUCCUGGGCCAACCCCGCCCCGCGCUGCGUAUUUCCGGUGGCGCUGGGACGUCCAGCUGCUGUUGCUAUAGUUGCGAGGGCGGGACUCCGGUGGCUUUUGUUCAGGGUACGGUUCGUUGGGGCGGGUUCGCUGGGACCCUUCUGGCCAGUCCCGGUCCAUUAUCUGGUCUUCACCUUCAUCCCGCUGGGCUUCCCUAGCUCUCCCCAGCCAAGAUCUUCAGGACUAGACCGAAAACUGGCCGAGUAGUUGGAUUUUCCUCUGAGGCUGAUGGCGCUUGAGUCUCCAGCCUGCAGAUGGCAGUGUUGUACCGUGGGGGGGGGCCAUCCUUGCCACCCCCGCCCUUCGUGCUUGAAAAAACUCUGCGGUGUCGUUUCAGAGAGAAAAGGCCUUUUUGUCCUCAUUUCUGGGCCGGUUGAGUCCUGCAUUUUGACAGGUCGCCCUCGGAAGGGGGUGGGGGCGGGCGGGAGGUGGGUCCCUGGCUAAAAUUCAGCGCCAGAGCACAAAGGCCUUUUGCUUUUCAAACUGGCUUUCCCGCCCACCCCCACCCCCACCCCCACCCCCGCGGUCUCUUAGCAACCUUUAUUCUGCUUCUCUGAAUGGUCUUGUCGUUCUUUUCCCCAGCUUGUGGGGGUGGAGGGGGGUGGGGUUGGGGGGAGGGAGGGUGUUAUGGGCCUUUAUCAAUAUAGUCUUUCAUUAUGGACGUCAUUCAACCUCAUUGUAGGAAAUUUGGUGCAUAGAUAAAGUAUAAUGAAGAAAACUAAUCUGAUCUACGGCCCCACACCCAGAGGUGACCAUUAAUUAUAUUUUGUGUUGAAUUUCCUUGGAGCGUUUUGCGUCCAAAAGGUGCAUUGUAUAAGUGAUGAGAUUCGCGUUUGCAUGAUUGCUUUUAUAGCUUUCUUUUAAAACUGUUUUGCAUUUUUGAAAAAUUGUUUCCAUAGUUUUAGUCUUUUAUUGGAAAAGUAAUAGAAACAUUUUGUGGACUAUUGCAAUUUUAUGUAAAACUAGUUCAUAAUUCAGUCAGCGCCUGUGGCUCUACGGAGUAGAGCGCUGGUCCCAUAUGCCAUAAGUGGCAAAACCUAGCCCUGGCCAGAAACAGCAAAAUAAAUAAAUAAAUAAAUAAACUAGUUCGUAAUUCAUUAAGUCAUGAUCCAAAGAUAAUUGUCACCAUGUCCCCUUAU
Molecule: long non-coding RNA, 5838 nt
Organism: Nycticebus coucang (slow loris)
Lineage: Eukaryota; Metazoa; Chordata; Mammalia; Primates; Lorisidae
Exons: 3
Source: RefSeq, a predicted model, not a curated record